AUGAACGCUAGCGACAGGCCUAACACACGCAAGUCGAGGGGCAGCACAAGGAGCAAUCUGAGGUGGCGACCGGCGCACGGGUGAGUAACACGUAUGCAACCUGCCUGUAAGCGGGGAAUAACCCGUUGAAAGACGGACUAAUACCGCAUAAUACUAAAUUACUGCAUGGUAAUUUAUUUAAACAUUUAUGGCUUACAGAUGGGCAUGCGCAUGAUUAGCUAGUUGGAGAGGUAACGGCUCCCCAAGGCAACGAUCAUUAGGGGUUCUGAGAGGAAGGUCCCCCACACUGGUACUGAGACACGGACCAGACUCCUACGGGAGGCAGCAGUGAGGAAUAUUGGUCAAUGGACGAGAGUCUGAACCAGCCAAGUCGCGUGCAGGAAGAAUGUCCUAAUGGAUUGUAAACUGCUUUUGCAGGGGAAUAAAGUGCAUCACGUGUGAUGUUUUGUAUGUACUCUGCGAAUAAGGAUCGGCUAACUCCGUGCCAGCCGCUGC
RNAcentral lists this ribosomal RNA (495 nucleotides) under uncultured bacterium. RNAcentral describes it as "bacterial SSU rRNA". It matches the Rfam family "Bacterial small subunit ribosomal RNA", at positions 29 to 518 of the family's 1533-position model. The record is from RNAcentral.